ACCACUUGUAAAGCAAUGAUAAGCCCUUUGAACUCAGAUAAUGCAGCUGAUCCAGGCAUAUCUCAGAGAUGCUGCUCAGAUCUCCCAAUUCAAAAGAGGCUCUUGCCUACAUUCAGCUGUCUAGAAGCUACGGGAAUGCCUGAAGUCAGAGGAACUGCUGCCUACCAGAGCAAGUUCUGCUCCCUGAGUACCUGGUCUAUCCUUUGGUCAAGAAAAGUAGCCCAGCAAGCUCUGGUUUGAAAGAGCCAUUAUGAACAUGUCCAAAGCAGUGUCUACAUCUAGGUUCAAGUGCUGCAUUUCCAAGGUCUUUCUCUGGGAAUGUCCUAGGGUGACUGUUAUCCCCAUUCGUGUGUGUGUAAUUUACGCUGGAUAUUAUGUUCUGUGCCUUUAAGACUGGUGGAGUGAAGGUUUUGUUUUGGCCUCUUAUCAGCCACUCGGCGGGACAUCCAGAUAGCACCAGUGCAUGUUGCUGCUUUUUGCUUCUUGCCCCUGCUUUUUGCUUUUUGCUCUUGCUUCUGCUUCGCUUCUGCUUUGCUUGCUCUUGCUUUUCCCCCCCACCCCCCCCAUUAGUUAAUUUAGCUAAACAGUCCAAAUUCCUUUCUGGACUGUUCCCCCCACCCCGCUGGACCUGCUGACUGCUCCGGACUGGGAUUUGGAACACGGAGAGAGAGUUUACACCUUGUGACUGCAGCAGCUGCCCCAGCACCGGAGGGACUGAUAACAGAGCAAACCCACAGGAGAGACUUUUCUGAAUUUUCUGAAUUUGUCAUCUUUUUCAGAGCAGUGGAAGAGUGGUGUCAUCCGGUAUUGUUCAUUGUGUGUGCUGGGGGGUGCUGUGCUUGUCAAAUAAACAGGUUCUUUCCACUUC
Long non-coding RNA from Haemorhous mexicanus (house finch), 868 nucleotides. RefSeq lists it as uncharacterized. The transcript has 3 exons. The record is from RefSeq and is a predicted model, not a curated record. Lineage: Eukaryota; Metazoa; Chordata; Aves; Passeriformes; Fringillidae.